AGCCCAGCACCGAAUCCUGUACCGUCUUGGUGCUAGGAAAUGUGGUGUUUAGGCCGUGCUUUGCGCUGGUACGACUCUCCUCAAGUCCACUUGAUUGUGGCUUCAGGCCCAGAGAGGGUGUAAGGCCCGUGGAGGCGAGUUGUCUGGUGCCCGGCAUGUCCUUAGAGUCGGGUUGUUUGGGAAUGCAGCCCUAAGCGGGUGGUAAACUCCAUCCAAGGCUAAAUACUAGCACGAGUCCGAUAGCGAAGAAGUACCGCGAGGGAAAGUUGAAAAGAACUUUGAAGAGAGAGUUCAAGAGUACGUGAAACCGCUGAGAGGCAAACUGGUGGAGCUGAAAUGGCUUUGAGGAAUUCAGCCCUUCGCGCGAUCGAUGAUGCCGGUUGUGAGAUCUCACGACUCCGCUGGUGUUAUUCUUUUGCGUGAUAGGUGCACUUUCCUCUUAGUCGGACCACGACCAGCGAACUGUCUUGUCUGAGAUUUGUGGAAGGUAGCUUUUGCCUCGGCAAAAGUGUUAUAGCCACUUAUUUGGAGCGAGCGGAGCGUUGGAUAAUUGAUGCCUGCCCUUUGGGCUCGUACGUUGGUUUCUUUCUGUGGUGUUGCUGGCUUCACUGCUUCUGCAGGGGUGUUGGUGAUGCCGUGGUUAGAGUCGGCCUCUGCGAUUGGCGUCUACAGUCAGUGGUUUCGAAGUAGGCAGUCCACCUGACCCGUCUUGAAACACGGACCAAGGAGUCUAACAUGUGCGCGAGUCAUUGGGCUCUACGAAACCUAAAGGCGCAGUGAAAGUGAAGAUCCAUUUUGGUGGAUUGAGGUAGGAUCCUGGGUUACGUGCUCAGGCGCACUACCGGCCCGUUCGACAUGUCUUCAUGCGGGCGGAGCAAGAGCGUACACGUUGGGACCCGAAAGAUGGUGAACUAUGCUUGCGCAGGUCGAAGCCAG
RNAcentral lists this ribosomal RNA (936 nucleotides) under Stylochus sp. JB-2016. RNAcentral describes it as "partial large subunit ribosomal RNA". It matches the Rfam family "Eukaryotic large subunit ribosomal RNA", at positions 106 to 855 of the family's 3401-position model. Lineage: Eukaryota; Metazoa; Platyhelminthes; Polycladida; Stylochidae. The record is from RNAcentral.